Molecule: non-coding RNA, 96 nt
Organism: Triticum aestivum (bread wheat)
Lineage: Eukaryota; Viridiplantae; Streptophyta; Magnoliopsida; Poales; Poaceae
Source: Rfam
UUGAUGCAUUUGAGGAGAAACGAGCUUAUGGAUAAUUUGUAUCCGAGGCAUUUCUCUGAUGUCACUCUUUUUCACCUUGGAGAUCCAAUGCAUUCC